CGAGAGAGCUCGGGAAAUGAAG
Molecule: microRNA, 22 nt
Filed under: Pristionchus pacificus
Lineage: Eukaryota; Metazoa; Nematoda; Chromadorea; Rhabditida; Neodiplogasteridae
Description: ppc-miR-8364o-3p
Source: miRBase by way of RNAcentral